AUUGAACGCUGGCGGCAUGCCUAACACAUGCAAGUCGAACGGCAGCACAGCAGUAGCAAUACUGUGGGUGGCGAGUGGCGGACGGGUGAGGAAUACGUCGGAAUCUGCCCAGUCGUGGGGGAUAACUAGCCGAAAGGUUAGCUAAUACCGCAUACGACCGAGAGGUGAAAGCGGGGGACCGCAAGGCCUCGCGCGAUUGGAUGAGCCGACGUCGGAUUAGCUAGUUGGCGGGGUAAAGGCCCACCAAGGCGACGAUCCGUAGCUGGUCUGAGAGGAUGAUCAGCCACACUGGAACUGAGACACGGUCCAGACUCCUACGGGAGGCAGCAGUGGGGAAUAUUGGACAAUGGGCGCAAGCCUGAUCCAGCAAUGCCGCGUGUGUGAAGAAGGCCUUCGGGUUGUAAAGCACUUUUAUCAGGAACGAAAAGCGUUGGAUUUAAUACUCUGACGUGCUGACGGUACCUGAGGAAUAAGCACCGGCUAACUUCGUG
Molecule: ribosomal RNA, 491 nt
Filed under: uncultured bacterium
Lineage: Bacteria
Description: bacterial SSU rRNA
Rfam family: Bacterial small subunit ribosomal RNA
Source: RNAcentral